UGGGGAAUAUUGGGCAAUGGAGGAAACUCUGACCCAGCAACGCCGCGUGAAUGAUGAAGGUCUUCGGAUUGUAAAGUUCUUUUCUAAGGGAAGAAGAAAGUGACGGUACCUUAGGAAUAAGCCUCGGCUAACUACGUGCCAGCAGCCGCGGUAAUACGUAGGAGGCAAGCGUUAUCCGGAAUGACUGGGCGUAAAGGGUGCGUAGGUGGUUUGACAAGUUGGUAGCGUAACUCCGGGGCUCAACCUCGGCACUACUACCAAAACUGCCAAACUUGAGUGCAGGAGGGGCAAAUGGAAUUCCUAGUGUAGCGGUGGAAUGCGUAGAUAUUAGGAGGAACACCAGUGGCGAAGGCGAUUUGCUGGACUGUAACUGACACUGAGGCACGAAAGCGUGGGGAGCAAACAGG
This 407-nucleotide ribosomal RNA is filed under the name uncultured bacterium. RNAcentral describes it as "bacterial SSU rRNA". It matches the Rfam family "Bacterial small subunit ribosomal RNA", at positions 355 to 776 of the family's 1533-position model. The record is from RNAcentral.